UGUCAGACUCUCUUUGUGUUGGCGCAGACACAGUUGUGUGAGUUGGGCUCCCCUUCCCAUGCAGGGUGAUCUCUAGAAGCGUGUCUACUCUUCAUCGAGGACACAGGCCUCUGCAUGGAAUUUUAACUGUUAUGUUCACUUCAUUGUGACCUGAGCUGCUGGGCUGCACUGAAACGGAACAUUCACCUUGUCUCCUCAUGUGUGUGAAUGCUGUGGGACAGUUUGAGCAUACUGAAAAGUAGGCCUAUAUUUUCUAGUUAUGUUUGAGUUGGCUACACUAUCCUGUUUAACAAUGCUGUCAACUAACAUGCUUGGUUUCUCUUUAAAAGGGACCAGGCCAGCCACUGUUUUUGAGUAAUUAAUACGCAUUUCUUUGUUUUUUUGUUUGUUUGGUUAGCUGUGAUUUUGCCUCGAGGCCUACCACCGGUGCCUCCAUUCAUAGUAGCCUAUUUCAUUGUUUCAUUGUUUCAACUAGUCUGGUGCUAUUGAUGCUGGUGGGUUUCCUCCUUAACGCUGUCUUCUCUGUAGGCUAUCCCUGUACAAGGCCGGAUCCUUACUGAUGCUUUGCCCCUGGUCGGGGGACCACACUGGAGGGACACUGUAGUGGUGUGUACGUAUACUGUAGCUACAACACGGUGUGAUAUUUUGUAGUGGUAUUUAAAAAGAUCUUAAGUGUGUAGUGCUUGCUGUGUUGCAUGCUUCGUUGGUGUUGGGUUGCUGUCUCCUGUUUUCUGUCUCACCAGGGGCCUCCUGAGCAGGGGUUCUGCAUCGGCCGAUCCGAUCUUCCUAGGCUGAGGAAUCCACCAGUAUUUUGUGUAGCAGUAUUUUAAGACCUGUCCAUAACUUUUCGAUACC
Molecule: long non-coding RNA, 855 nt
Organism: Sardina pilchardus (European sardine)
Lineage: Eukaryota; Metazoa; Chordata; Actinopteri; Clupeiformes; Clupeidae
Exons: 3
Source: RefSeq, a predicted model, not a curated record